This 72-nucleotide transfer RNA is filed under the name Ornithorhynchus anatinus (platypus). It matches the Rfam family "tRNA". From Rfam's summary of the family: Transfer RNA (tRNA) molecules are approximately 80 nucleotides in length. Their secondary structure includes four short double-helical elements and three loops (D, anti-codon, and T loops). The record is from Rfam by way of RNAcentral. Lineage: Eukaryota; Metazoa; Chordata; Mammalia; Monotremata; Ornithorhynchidae.
AGCAGCGUGGCUCAGUGGAAAGAGCCCGGGCUUGGGAGUCAGAGGACCUGGGUUCGAAUCCCGGCUCUGCCA